GCCAUUUCUUGGGCCGCUCCCGUGGCAUAUGGAGGUUCCCGGGCUAGGGGUCGAAUCGGAGCUGCAGCUGCCAGCCUACACCAGAGCCACAGCAACGCAGGAUCCGAGCCGCGUCUGCGACCUACACCACAGCUCACAGCAACGCUGGAACCCUGACCCACUGAGCAAGGGCAGGGAUCAAACCCUCAACCUCAUGGUUCCUAGUUGGAUUCGUUAACCACUGUGCCACGACGGGAACUCCUGCAUUGUUUUCUUACAACGAUAUAGGAAUCAACCAUUAAUCUCAAGAUAAAAAGUUGAACUAAAAGCAAACUAAAAAAAUGCAAGGAAGUGAUCCCUAUGAAAGUCACAACAGGGGUCACUUUUGGAGGCAAAGAGGGCAGGCUAGGAGUGGAAUGGAGUGACCAGCAAAGUUCCAUGCCUGUCCUGGGUGGCAGUCAGGCAAGAGUUUAUCUAAUUCACCAAGCUGUACAGUUGUUUUGCAUGAAUUUUUGCAGCUGUGUUUUUGCCGUAAGUUAAAAUAAUAAUAAUACAAUCCAAGAGUUAGCAAGUGUGGGAGAAGUGGCCUAGCCAAUCCACUAUGAACACGCAGUGGGAACAAGAAAUAAACGUUUGUCAUCAGUCACCAAGGGUUUGUUUGUUACUGCAGCAUAAAUAGCUCAUCCUGACUAAUGCAACCAUGCUGAGUGCACAGGUAAAAGCCCUCUGGACUCCGGGACUUAGAAAUGGGUUACCAACAGUGAACCCAGCCAGAAUAAGCAAUGUGCCCUUGGGGAGGACCUGGAGGGCUAUUUGAUGAGGUUAAGAAAGCAAAGCCUCACUCCUGCAUAUUCCCCAAGGCCCACACCUACUCUAGAGAGAGACUCAGCUCUCUCCUCCAUGGAUUGUGAUCAUUUCUAUUGUACAGAUGAGACGAUGGAGGCACAGAGAGGUUUAACAACUUCUCAAGGUCACACAGCAGGCUAGUGGCACAGCUGGUCAGCUAAUAUUUGUUUACAUAAAAACCCGAGGGAUCAUGCACUAAAGAGUCCAUUGAUGACUGGGGAUUUCUUGGGAUUGUCCUUAUUUUUCUCAAAUUACCAUAAUGUACAUUUUUUAAUUGAAAAAUCAGAAAUUCUGUCUUUCAAGAACCACUUAAGUACCAACUCUAUGCUUGGUGCUGAGGUUAAGCAGUCACUCGGAGCUGGGCACAGCCCAGGCCUAAGAAGUCCCAGAAGGGAUGGGUGGCUCACAGUUCAGGCUGCCCUUUCCUGGGCCCCAGAAGGAGCAUUUGUGAGCUCCAUGCCCCUGUCUGCCCUCUCUCUGCACCUUAACCCUGCCAGCAGCACCUAAAAGCACAGGUCAGAUGGAACAUCUGGUUUGCAAGGGUUCACCUGGCCUUGCCCAGGGAGGGACAGGGGUCUGCAGCAGUAGGAGCCCUUCCUUGCCCAAGAAUGACAGCAUCUGGCAACAUCCUGCCAGUGGAUGCCCACACUGCUGCCCUAGCUUGCCCCUCCGUCAAGCAAUCUUUCACAUCAGAUGGUUAAGAAAGGCAAGGUGGCUUAAAACAAAACAAAAAAAAACCAAAACUUAAGCAUCCAGCAAAGGUCAGAAUCACAACCCCAAGACAUACGCAUGUGUUAAGAGCCACUUAAACACUCUCUAGAGUCCUCAGGGCCCCACUUGACAUUUAGUGACCUUCCCAUCCAAGGCAGGAGCUGUCAUUAAGAGCCGGGGGAGCCGCUGCCCCGGCAGCUGGGCUGAGGGCCAGGGCUGGCACACCAGCCGGCAGGGACCAGCUGGAACCCCAGGCAGGAUGUCCCAGGAGAGAAGGACACAGCAGAGGAACUUAGCCCGAUGAAGAGGCCUGCCAGAUUCGCAGUGACAAACCCAUCUGGUAUCCAUGAGGAUGCGGGUUUGAUCCCUGGCCUUGCUUAGUGGGUCAAGGAUCCGGCGUUGCCAUGAGCUGUGGUGUAGGCCAGCAGCUGUAGCUCUGACUGGACUUCCAUAUGCCAUGGAUGAGGCCCUAAAAAAGCAAAUACAUAAAUAAUCGAUCCUUCUUUAUCUGAAACGCUAUCAUAACUGGGCAUGCUGGAUCUUCUCUGGAAAUCCUACCUCUAAAGCAGAACAUUUAAAAGAAAAGUCCCCACAUCCCCCCACCUUGGGCCACAGAGAGACCCCUGGUCAGAAGCAGGCCAUGGUUGAAAAUCGGGCAGCAUAUUCCACCCAGCUUGGAGGCUGCAAACCAGCCAUUUUCACCCAGCUGCAUCCGAUUCCCAACUCAUCAAGGGCUCCUCUGAGAAUGAGUUUCACCCCUCAACAGAUCCCCACAGUGAAGCCUGAGGGCCUCCUGGGUGUUGGACAUCAGAGCUGAAAGGGAGAGAGACAGGCAAGGUCCCCCUGCCCCUGUGGGGCUGACAUGCUAGAGAAGCUGAAAAACUAGAGCAUCUCAGGCAGUGAAAAAAAAGUCAACAAGACCAGGAGAGGGAACGUUGGGAAAGGAAGCUGAGGAGACAACAUUCAGGGAGAGCCAUGUGGCUAUUGGAAGGUGAAUCACUGCAGGCACAAGAUUUUGUACAUGCAAAGGCCCUGUGGCAGAGGAGAGCUUACAUAGCCCAGGAGCAGGGAGACACUUGCUAUGGUGGGAACAGAGAGGGAAGGGAGGAGGAGGUGGUGUGCAGGGUGAGGCUGGGGCCAGAGGGCCUUCUAAUCCAGAAAAGGAAAUUUUUUAUUCUAGGAGCACCAAAAAUUCUUGGAGCGUUCUUAGAGUGACAUAAUAGGAUUCAGGGGUGUGCAUGCAACCUAGAGAAACGCAAGCAUCACAGGCUGCCUGAACAGAGCUAGAGGGAGACAAGAAAGGCAUUUUGGGUGCAAGAUUUAAGGAGACCCUCAUUCUUGGCUUUGUGCAAGUGCUAACUCUCAGUGCCCACCAGACCCUCUUCCCUAGGCCCUGCUUGGACGUCAGUGACCAGGAGUCACAUCCCUGGGAGUGACCGUCCCCUGCCUCACCCUACUGCAAACCUGCCUGUUAUCUGGCCAGCAGCUGGAGUAGGAGGCCAGAUCAGAAGGAGAAGGGACACACUUACUUUGUGUUCCAUCCACCGGGGACAGGCUGCAGGGUCUGUUUCCCACCAGGCUGGGUGCCUCCUGCCCCAACCCUACCAGCCUGGCGGCAGGUGGGGGCCAGGGCUCCUUCUAGGGCACGGGUCUCCUGCAGCGGGGGUGAGCGUCUCCGCGGAGCGGUGGGGAGGCAAAGCUGCUGGGGCAUUCUGAAGCUUCUAGAGCCCUGACCUAGAGGACUUUCACCCCCAGGACCCACAGGUCAGAGGGAGCAGCACAUCCCACCCAGACCACUGCUUCUCUGCCUUCACCUCACACAGAGGAGGUUGCACAGCCUCCGUCUUCCGCGCAGGGAGCUCAGGGACCUGCCAUCCACCCCUCAGCCGAGCAAGUCUGAGGCCUCGGGCUCCUUUUGACCUUAAUCAGCGGUAACACGCAGCACUUGGCUCAUCCCAGCCCGAAGCCGCGGCGCGAGGAGGACGCCCUCUGCUGGCGGCCAUCAGCAUCGCAGCCGCGGGGGAGCUCCGGUACCGCUCGCGGCUCCCAGCUCCCCGCAGCCUGGUUCUAGGACAGACCGACUUCCAGGGCUGCUCACUCAGCGGCGUGCGGACUCCAGCCCUCGCCAGAGUCCUCGAGUCUGCACCGCCAUCCCCUCUGGGCUCGGUCUUACCUGUCCUGGGAAUUCGAGAUGGUUCUCAUCCUUUAUGCGGCUGCCACAGGCGGUUGUGGGACCCCGUUUCCGGAUCCCUGUCCGCAGCUUCGCUCUGCUCUGGUUUCUUACCAGACACGGGGCGGGAGGGGGCGGGGGGCGGGAGGGGCAGUUCCUAUAGGAUCUCCAAAGCUCCUGGAAGGAGUCCACUUCCGGAGCGGAUCUCCCCUCUCCCAGCAGUGACCGCCUCAAAACAAUCACCAGAGCUGGUUAAUCACCAUUAAUCACCCAUAGCUGGUUCGUGCGAACUCGAAGAACCACUGUGGCGCCCCUGACUCGGUGGUCUGGCUGAGGCUGGGGAUGUUUAUUUCCAGUCUCUGCUAUGACCCACCCUGCUCCUCAGCUUCGGUGGCAUUAAACUUGAUGGGACAUGCAGAACUUGUUGCCAAAGCAGGAAGCCCAGACUCCCCCCCACCCCCACCCCCACCCCCCUGGGUUUCGGACUCAGUGGAUGUAGGGGUGUAGGCCUGAGUCUCUAGUUUAACAAUCAGCCAGGUGAUCCCAGAGGUAAGCUAAUGUCCCUUAAGGAGACACAGUGGUAGCUGAUUUUCACUCCCUAAAACAAAGGAUGGUAGGUACAGUGAUCAUCUUGUCAAAGCACCAGGCUGAGGGCAGUGACCAGCCCAAGGCCACACGGUCAGUAAAGACCAGAGCUGGGAUUUAGCCCAGACCUGGUGACCUCUGAGCCUGUGCUUCUGAACCCGUCCUUCCAAUGAUAGCAAUCUGAGGCAGAGCAAAAGUCCAGCAGCUGACUGCUGUGUCCUGGGGACUGACCUCAGCAGUGACAGUGCCAUCUGAGGGUGUCUUGAGAGAGCAACCAAUAGCGGGAAGAAGGAGUGAGGGGGCAGAGUGGGAAACAGUGAUGUUAGGCUGGAAAGGUCUGCAUCCAGUCCCUGACCUACAUCUGCCAGCUGUGUGACCCUGGACGAAUUGCUUAGCAUGUCUGGGCCUCGGUUUCUUCAUCUGCGAACUAGCCAUCGCGGUCUCACGUGGGCUGUCGUGAUGUCGCGGUGCUCAGUCAGUGGUGCCUGUGAGUGUCAGCCCUGUGCCGGGAGUCGGAGGCUGGCUCAGGUCCUGGCUGACAUUGAAGCACUGUGGCCUGGAUGAGUCACCUACUCUCAGAGCUCCAUCUGCCAGAAGAGACACCAGACCCGCCCUGUCCACCUCAAGGCUCAUUAGAAGAAUGAGCUGGAAUUAUGUGCGUGCGGGUAUCUGACGGAACUCAAAAGGAGUGCGUUAUUUAUUACAAUUCCAGGCUACUUGCAAUAACUAAGAAAGCUUCAUAAAACUUUCUUAUGCCUAACAUGGAGAUCAGGUGAGGAGAACUGUCAGGUCUGCAAACGUCCUCCUCCUCCAGGAAGCCCUCCCUUAUGUCCUGCUUUGGGUGACAGGUCCCACCUCUAUGCCCUCAAAGGACUUCUGCAUCAGCCCCUUUUAUUUCCCUAAACCGCUUCCUUUUUCUCUGCCUCCGUUCCUGCUGCCCCCUCCACCACCGAAAGCCAGGCCUAUGGGAAAUUGAUCUUGCAGGCUAGACCAGGGGGUCCGCCAAGGGGGUGAGCCUGAUGCAUGAAAUUCACCUCACUGGGAGAUUCCUGCUGUGUGCUUUCUAGAUAGGUUUCCUCUAGAGAUGGAAAGUCACCAGUGAGGGCUACUUUGUGUCAACUUGAGCAGGCCAUGGGGUACCAACCCCGUUAAACACGGUUUCCUGUGGUGAUGUGAGGGUGUUUCCCAGUAAGAUUAGCAUUUGAAUCAGAGGACUCAGUCAAGGAGGUCUCCCUCCCUCCGGGGGUCAGGGAUCCCUUGAGGCUUUCAAAAGAACAAAAAGCAGAGGAAGGAGGAGUUGGCCCUUUUGCCCACAGGCUCCCUGCUCCAACUGGAGUGUGUCAUCUUCUCCUGCCCUGAGCUGGGAUCCAUCCCAUCAGCUACGCUGAUCCUCAGGCUUCUGGACUCAGCAUAAAUUACACCAACCAGGCUUCCUGGGUCUCCUUUGUCUUACAGAUGGCAGAUCAUGGGACUUCUUAGCCUCCCUAACCUCAUGAGCCAAGUCUCCUUUUAUAUGUAUUACAUAUUAUAUUUAUAUAAAUAUAUACCUCCUAUUGGUUGUUUCUCUAGAGAAUUCUAAUAUCAUCUUUUCAGAGAAAGUUUUUAAGUGAAAAGGCUUUAAGUUUCUAGGUGAGCUUUGGGCUCUUCUUCCCACCCCUCUGCAAUAUUUGGAUAAUUCACCUGUCUUGGAGUUCUCGCUGUGGUGCAGUGGGUUAAGGAUCCAACUGCAGUGGCUC
RNAcentral lists this long non-coding RNA (6027 nucleotides) under Sus scrofa (pig). Its description in RNAcentral is "lncRNA (ENSSSCG00060002841.1)". The record is from RNAcentral. Lineage: Eukaryota; Metazoa; Chordata; Mammalia; Artiodactyla; Suidae.